Schizosaccharomyces pombe (fission yeast) is the source of this 456-nucleotide non-coding RNA. NCBI's taxonomy places the organism in Eukaryota, Fungi, Ascomycota, Schizosaccharomycetes, Schizosaccharomycetales, Schizosaccharomycetaceae. The record is from the annotation of a GenBank genome assembly.
UUAUCAGGAUCAAGGCCAACAGAAGCAGAUCCCAUCGCAGCUUGAGGUUGUGACCGCCAAUCAUUAUUUUUCACAGCAUUCAACUUUGGAACGUUAUUUGCAGCAGAUUUUCUGGCUCUAAAUGCAGCCUUGUCGGCUUGCAAAACUAUCUGUCCUCUAUCGCCAGGCAAAGAACUAUCUGUGGGGUAAAUCCCAAAGUUGUUGCUAUAACUUCCUGAUAAAACGUGUUUGUCGUCACCAGAAAAGGUACACUCGAAUUUAUCAAAAAUACAGUCAUUUUCAUAGAGAUCGCAUAACUUUGAUCGCAAAACAUCAUGCAAUGGAAUAGUUUUAACGGGAGCUUUUUCCAUGUUGACAUCCCAUAUCUUAAGAGUUAAAUAAUCUCUUGAAAGAAUAUAGCGGCCAUUUUGUGAGAACUUAACGUCUGAAAUGCUAGAGAUGAUUUCAGAAAAGAAA